This 800-nucleotide ribosomal RNA is filed under the name uncultured bacterium. Its description in RNAcentral is "bacterial SSU rRNA". It matches the Rfam family "Bacterial small subunit ribosomal RNA", at positions 24 to 872 of the family's 1533-position model. The record is from RNAcentral.
UCAGGAUGAAUGCUGGCGGCGUGGAUGAGGCAUGCAAGUCGAGUGGGUUUAGACCCACGGCAGACGAGGUAGUAACACGUAGGUACGUACCCCAGAGUCAGGAAUAACCGGCCGAAAGGUCGGAUAAUACUUGAUAUCUCGCGAGAGGAAAGAUUUAUCGCUCUGGGAACGGCCUGCGACGUAUCAGCUAGUUGGUAGGGUAACGGCCUACCAAGGCUACGACGCGUAGGGGAGCUGAGAGGCUGACCCCCACCGAUGGCACUGCGACACGGGCCAUACUCCUACGGGAGGCUGCAGUCGAGAAUCUUCCGCAAUGGACGAAAGUCUGACGGAGCGACGCCGCGUGGUUGAUGAAGUCCUUAGGGACGUAAAAACCUUUUAUGAGGGAGGAAAUUUUGACGUUACCUCAUGAAUAAGGGGCUCCCAACUCUGUGCCAGCAGGAGCGGUAAUACAGAGGCCCCGAGCAUUAUCCGGAUUUACUGGGCGUAAAGGGUGUGUAGGUGGUGUGAUUAGUCUCUCGUUAAAACCCGAAGCUCAACUUCGGAAUCGCGAGGGAAACGGUCACACUCGAGGAUGCGAGAGGUAUGUGGAACUCAAGGUGUAGGGGUGAAAUCCGUUGAUAUCUUGGGGAACACCAAAUGCGAAGGCAGCAUACUGGCGCACUCCUGACACUGAAACACGAAAGCGUGGGUAGCGAACGGGAUUAGAUACCCCGGUAGUCCACGCCCUAAACGUUGCCCGCUAGCUAUAGGGAGUAUCGACCCUCUCUGUGGCGAAGCUAACGCGUUAAGCGGGCCGC